RNAcentral lists this unclassified non-coding RNA (246 nucleotides) under Jiroft(Iran) periwinkle phyllody phytoplasma. RNAcentral describes it as "partial 16S-23S ribosomal RNA intergenic spacer". The stretch from base 89 to 163 matches the Rfam family "tRNA". The record is from RNAcentral. Lineage: Bacteria; Bacillati; Mycoplasmatota; Mollicutes; Acholeplasmatales; Acholeplasmataceae.
CCUCCUUUCUAAGGAAACCAAUAAAAUCAAGUCAUCUUCAGUUUUGAAAGACUUAGGCAACUAAGUUUUUCUUCGUGACUUACACGAAGGGCCUAUAGCUCAGUUGGUUAGAGCACACGCCUGAUAAGCGUGUAGGUCGGUGGUUCAAGUCCAUUUAGGCCCACCAGAGUUAUAGGUUUCGUACAGAACACAAAUUCUUUGAAAAUUAGGUAAAUAAUAGUUAUUUAUCCGGAAACAUUAAAGGAA